UCCAUGUUUCAUGUACGGAAGAACAACUAAUGGGGAUCCUUCAUUGGGCAAACAGAUUCCCAGGAGCGACAAAACAUUGGGAUGAGUGAAAUCUUUCAUGAUUAUUCCUUCUUUCAGAAACUGAGCUACUUCUUCCAGCAUGUCAUUGUACAACAAAGUGAUGAGAGACUACAAACAUGCUCUCCACCUCCCACAUUACAAUGAGGUUAUGUGCAUUGGUUUUCCUACAAUGACCAAAUACAGGCUGUUGCUUUGCCCACUUUUCAGCAACUUAACUUACAAACUGAAAUCUUCAGUACUCAGUAGAAUAAAAAAUAAUGCUACCUUUCCCUUAUUUUUCCAGAGUUUUUUUUCUUUGUAGAGGAAUAAUAUGGACAUUUCAUUUGAUGUAAAAAUAUAUGCCAAUAU
Long non-coding RNA from Passer montanus (Eurasian tree sparrow), 408 nucleotides. RefSeq lists it as uncharacterized. Lineage: Eukaryota; Metazoa; Chordata; Aves; Passeriformes; Passeridae. The record is from RefSeq and is a predicted model, not a curated record. The transcript has 3 exons.